AUCUGACUGGCUUAGUCAGUAGAGUGUGUGACUCUAGAUCUCGGGGUUGUGGGUUUGAGCCCCACAUUGGGUG
Molecule: transfer RNA, 73 nt
Filed under: Ailuropoda melanoleuca (giant panda)
Lineage: Eukaryota; Metazoa; Chordata; Mammalia; Carnivora; Ursidae
Rfam family: tRNA
About the family: Transfer RNA (tRNA) molecules are approximately 80 nucleotides in length. Their secondary structure includes four short double-helical elements and three loops (D, anti-codon, and T loops).
Source: Rfam by way of RNAcentral